GACGUAGGGGGCGAGCGUUGUCCGGAUUUAUUGGGCGUAAAGAGCGUGUAGGCGGCCAGAUAGGUCCGUUGUGAAAACUGGAGGCUUAACCUCCAGCUGUCGAUGGAAACCAUCUGGCUAGAGUCCGGAAGAGGAGAGUGGAAUUCCUGGUGUAGCGGUGAAAUGCGCAGAUAUCAGGAAGAACACCGAUGGCGAAGGCAGGUCUCUGGGCCGUAACUGACGCUGAGGAGCGAAAGCGUGGGGAGCGAACAGG
This 253-nucleotide ribosomal RNA is filed under the name uncultured bacterium. RNAcentral's name for it is "partial 16S ribosomal RNA". It matches the Rfam family "Bacterial small subunit ribosomal RNA", at positions 524 to 776 of the family's 1533-position model. The record is from RNAcentral.